CUUUGAAGAGAGAGUUCAAGAGUACGUGAAACCGUUCAGGGGUAAACCUGCGAAACUCGAAUGAACGAACGGAGAGAUUCAUCGUCAUUCCGCGGCGUACGGACGCGCGCCUCGAUGCCGUCGGCCUCGGUCGGCAGGCACGGGUCGCGUCCGUCGACGUCCGCGGACGGCGUGCACUUCUCUCUUAGUAAAUACAUCGCGACCCGUUCGAUGUCGGUCUAAGCGCCGUACGGGAGCCCCGUUGCCCCGGUUAAUCCCGGGGUAGCGGGACCGCGACGGUGGCCGACCGGCCGUCGGACGGUAGUUUUAAGGAAUCGCGCACGCGUUUUUGACGCGUCCGGCCCGACGCAAGUCAACGUCGUAUCCCGUGUCUACGCCCUGGUGCGGACGCGGGUGCGGCGCGUCUGCUGUCGCCGCCGUGUUGUCUCGGACUGUGCGCGUCUCUGUCUGCGAUGAUUCAGUUUCGGGCACUCGCAGGACCCG
Molecule: ribosomal RNA, 483 nt
Filed under: Busseola nairobica
Lineage: Eukaryota; Metazoa; Arthropoda; Insecta; Lepidoptera; Noctuidae
Description: partial 28S large subunit ribosomal RNA
Source: RNAcentral